UACGUAGGGGGCAAGCGUUGUCCGGAUUUAUUGGGCGUAAAGAGCGUGUAGGCGGCCAGACAGGUCCGUUGUGAAAACUCGAGGCUCAACCUCGAGACGCCGAUGGAAACCGUCUGGCUAGAGUCCGGAAGAGGAGAGUGGAAUUCCUGGUGUAGCGGUGAAAUGCGUAGAUAUCUGGAGGAACACCGGUGGCGAAGGCGGCAUCCUGGACCGGUAUUGACGCUGAGGCGCGAAAGCCAGGGGAGCAAACGGG
Molecule: ribosomal RNA, 253 nt
Filed under: uncultured bacterium
Lineage: Bacteria
Description: partial 16S ribosomal RNA
Rfam family: Bacterial small subunit ribosomal RNA
Source: RNAcentral